RNAcentral lists this ribosomal RNA (390 nucleotides) under uncultured bacterium. RNAcentral describes it as "bacterial SSU rRNA". It matches the Rfam family "Bacterial small subunit ribosomal RNA", at positions 28 to 417 of the family's 1533-position model. The record is from RNAcentral.
GACGAACGCUGGCGGCGUGCUUAACACAUGCAAGUCGAGCGGUAAGGCCCUUUCGGGGGUACACGAGCGGCGAACGGGUGAGUAACACGUGGGUGACCUGCCCUCAGCUCUGGGAUAAGCCUGGGAAACCGGGUCUAAUACUGGAUAUGACUCCAUGACGCAUGUUGUGGGGUGGAAAGCCUUGUGCGGCUGAGGAUGGGGCCCGCGGCCUAUCAGCUUGUUGGUGGGGUGANGGCCCCACCAAGGCGACGACGGGUAGCCGGCCUGAGAGGGCGACCGGCCACACUGGGACUGAGACACGGCCCAGACUCCUACGGGAGGCAGCAGUGGGGAAUCUUGCGCAAUGGGCGAAAGCCUGACGCAGCGACGCCGCGUGAGGGAUGACGGCCU